CCUGACUCCAUUCCGAACUCAGAAGUGAAACGAAAUAGCGCCGAUGGUAGUGUGGGGGUUCCUCAUGUGAGAGUAGGACAUCGCCAGGC
Molecule: ribosomal RNA, 89 nt
Filed under: Vibrio parahaemolyticus
Lineage: Bacteria; Pseudomonadati; Pseudomonadota; Gammaproteobacteria; Vibrionales; Vibrionaceae
Source: RNAcentral